UUGGGAAUCUUGGACAAUGGGGGAAACCCUGAUCCAGCCAUGCCGCGUGAGUGAUGAAGGCCUUCGGGUUGUAAAACUCUUUCGACGGGGACGAUAAUGACGGUACCCGUAGAAGAAGCUCCGGCUAACUUCGUGCCAGCAGCCGCGGUAAUACGAAGGGGGCUAGCGUUGUUCGGAAUUACUGGGCGUAAAGCGCGCGCAGGCGGUCUUCCAAGUCAGUGGUGAAAGCCUGGAGCUCAACUCCAGAACUGCCAUUGAAACUGUUAGACUUGAGUACGAGAGAGGUGAGUGGAAUUCCCAGUGUAGAGGUGAAAUUCGUAGAUAUUGGGAAGAACACCAGUGGCGAAGGCGGCUCACUGGCUCGUAACUGACGCUCAGGCGCGACAGCGUGGGGAUCAAA
RNAcentral lists this ribosomal RNA (400 nucleotides) under uncultured bacterium. RNAcentral's name for it is "bacterial SSU rRNA". It matches the Rfam family "Bacterial small subunit ribosomal RNA", at positions 355 to 772 of the family's 1533-position model. The record is from RNAcentral.